AUGCCCAGGGGCCAUUUCUUGAAGACAACUGAACGGAGGCACUUGAAAAUGGUCAUGAUAGCAUCCUGCAUCGUCAUGAGAGACCUGAAAUGCCAUGCACGGGGGUUCCCUAACCAGGAGGUACUGAAGUUGACUCUGGUAAAGCUAGUGAGGCCAAGGCGGUGGGGCCGCGCGGAACAUCAGGCCCAACGCAAAGCCUCACCUUGGAUGGACCUCACCCUCCUCCUCCUUCCCUGGGGGCUCCGCUCCAACCUUGCCACUGGCCCCGCCCCCCCAUCCCCUCUCAGGUACCGGUUCUGUGUGCGCCCCGCGUGGUGCUGCCAAGGCCAGAAGGAGGCUCCCAUGCACACAUCCAUCCGUUCGUCCAACGGCUGCAAGGGGGUCUCACAACCUCCUGGGACCCCUGAAGACCUAGCUGUGGCAGAGCCAGAUGGCUGCCUGGUCACUGGGCCAGGUCGCAUUUUGGCAGGGAGAAAGGGCUGGGAGAGGGAUGAUGAAAUAGCUCCCUGGUACCCUGGUGGAGUUCUUCCUCAGAGGAAGGCCCAGGAGUUACUGAUGCUUGCCCUGAAGUCAGAUGAGGGGCUCUGGGGAUCCCCAAGGAGGCUGUUAGCGGGCACCUCUGAGAAACCCAAGGGAACUUCUCACAGUGUCCUGUGCCACCAGUGCAGGAUGAAAUCCCAGCUGUGCCCAAAACCACCUCAGCAUGGUUCGUCCCACUGUGCCAUUCCAGGGAUGGAGAAGCUGCCUGUCUCUUCUAGGGCUGCUAGCACUCUGGAAGGCUCCACCCUCCAUGGGCUCCUAGAGUCUCCUUCUUACCUCAAACUACAGCCAGUUCAUGGCUAUGUCUGGCCCACGAUUGGCGCAGCACCACCUCAGGUCCUCCACUGCGUCAGCUGCUCUGAUGCUCUGCUCUCAGUUGUGAACACAGGUGUCGUGAAAGCCACCGCUAAAUCGAAGCCAAACGGGAAAGGAAAAUACAUUAACAUCGUUGUCAUUGGACACGUAGAUUCGGGCAAGUCUACCACUACUGGCCAUCUGAUCUACAAAUGUGGUGGGAUCGACAGAAGAACAAUUGAAAAUUUUGAGAAGGAAGCUGCUGAGAUGGGAAAGGGCUCCUUCAAGUAUGCCUGGGUCUUGGAUAAACUGAAAGCUGAACGUGAGUGUGGUAUCACCAUUGUCAUCUCCUGGUGGAAAUUUGAGACCAGCAAGUAUUAUGUGACUAUCAUUAAUGCCCCAGGACACAGAGACUUUAUCAAAAACAUGAUUAUAGGCACAUCUCACGCUGACUGUGCUGUCCUGAUUGUUGCUGCUGGCAUUGGUGAAUUUGAAGCUGGUAUCUCCACGAAUGGGCAGACCCGUGAGCAUGCCCUUCUGGCCUGCACACUGGGUGUGAAACAACUAAUCGUUGGUGUUAACAAAAUGGAUUCCACCUAGCCACUCUACAGUCAGAAGAGAUAUGAGGAAAUUGCCAAGGAAGUCAGCAUUACAUUAAGAAAAUUGGCUACAACCCUGUUACAGUAGCAUUUGUGCCAAUUUCUGGUUGGAAUGGUGACAACAUGUUGGAGCCAAGUGCUAAUAUGCCUUGGUUCAAGGGAUGGAGAGUCACCUGUAAAGAUGGCAGUGCCAGUGGAACCACAUUGCUUGAAGCUUUAGAUUGCAUCCUGCCACCAACUCGUCCAACUGACAAGCCUUUGCGUCUGCCCCUCCAGGAUGUCUACAAAAUUGUUAGUAUUGGUACUGUCCCUGUGGGCCGAGUGGAGACUGGUGUUCUCAAGCCUGGCAUGGUGGUCACCUUUGCUCCAGUCAAUGUCACAACUGAAGUAAAGUCUGUUGAAAUGCACCAUGAAGCUCUGAGUGAAGCUCUUCCUGGAGACAAUGUGGGCUUCAAUGUCAAGAACGUGUCUGUCAAAGAUGUUUGACGUGGCAAUGUUGCUGGUGACAGCAAAAAUGACCCACCAAUGGAAGCAGCUGGUUCCACUGCUCAGGUGAUUAUCCUGAACCAUCCAGGCCAAAUCAGUGCUGGCUAUGCUUCUGUACUGGAUUGUCACACAGCUCACAUUGCUUGCAAUGUGAAAGAAAAGAUUGAUCGCUAUUCUGGUAAGAAGCUGGAAGAUGGCCCUAAAUUCUUGAAAUCUGGUGAUGCUGCCAUCGUUGAUAAUGGUUCCAGGAAAGCCCAUGUGUGUUGAGAGCUUCUCUGACUAUCCUCCUCUGGGUCGUUUUGCUGUUCGAGAUAUGAGGCAGACAGUUGCUGUGGGUGUCAUCAAAGCAGUGAACAAGAAGGCUUUAUUUGGGAACUAAAUCCAAGUCUGCCCAGAAAGCUCAGAAGACCAAAUGAAUAUUACCCCUAAUACCUGCCACCCCAGUCUUAAUCAGUGGUGGAAGAAUGAUCUCAGAACUGUUUGUCUCAAUUGGCCAUUUAAGUUUAAUAGUAAAAGACUGGUUAAUGAUAACAAUGCAUCAUAAAAACCUUCAGAAGGA
Marmota flaviventris (yellow-bellied marmot) is the source of this 2478-nucleotide non-coding RNA. Lineage: Eukaryota; Metazoa; Chordata; Mammalia; Rodentia; Sciuridae. The record is from RefSeq and is a predicted model, not a curated record.